RNAcentral lists this ribosomal RNA (460 nucleotides) under uncultured bacterium. RNAcentral's name for it is "partial 16S ribosomal RNA". It matches the Rfam family "Bacterial small subunit ribosomal RNA", at positions 338 to 795 of the family's 1533-position model. The record is from RNAcentral.
CCUACGGGCGGCAGCAGUGAGGAAUAUUGGUCAAUGGACGGAAGUCUGAACCAGCAAUGCCGCGUGCAGGAAGAAGGCUCUAUGAGUUGUAAACUGCUUUUGUACAAGGGUAAACCUGAAUACGUGUAUUCAGCUGAACGUACUGUUCGAAUAAGGAUAGGCUAACUCCGUGCCAGCAGCCGCGGUAAUACGGAGGAUCCAAGCGUUAUCCGGAUUUAUUGGGUUUAAUGGGUGCGUAGGCGGAUUGAUAAGUUAGAGGUGAAAUGUCCGGGCUUAACUCGGGAACUGGUUCUAAGACUGUUGAUCUAGAGUGUAGGUGGGGUAGGCGGAAUUUAUGGUGUAGCGGUGAAAUGCUUAGAGAUCAUACAGAACACCGAUUGCGAAGGCAGCUUACCAAUCUAUAACUGACGUUGAGGCACGAAAGCGUGGGGAGCAAACAGGAUUAGAUACCCUUGUAGUC